UGCAGUCGAACGAUGAAGCCGCUUCGGUGGUGGAUUAGUGGCGAACGGGUGAGUAACACGUGGGCAAUCUGCCCUGCACUCUGGGACAAGCCCUGGAAACGGGGUCUAAUACCGGAUAUGAUCACCGGCCGCAUGGUCUGGUGGUGGAAAGCUCCGGCGGUGCAGGAUGAGCCCGCGGCCUAUCAGCUUGUUGGUGGGGUGAUGGCCUACCAAGGCGACGACGGGUAGCCGGCCUGAGAGGGCGACCGGCCACACUGGGACUGAGACACGGCCCAGACUCCUACGGGAGGCAGCAGUGGGGAAUAUUGCACAAUGGGCGCAAGCCUGAUGCAGCGACGCCGCGUGAGGGAUGACGGCCUUCGGGUUGUAAACCUCUUUCAGCAGGGAAGAAGCGCAAGUGACGGUACCUGCAGAAGAAGCACCGGCUAACUACGUGCCAGCAGCCGCGGUAAUACGUAGGGUGCGAGCGUUGUCCGGAAUUAUUGGGCGUAAAGAGCUCGUAGGCGGCCUGUCGCGUCGGAUGUGAAAGCCCGGGGCUUAACCCCGGGUCUGCAUUCGAUACGGGCAGGCUAGAGUUCGGUAGGGGAGAUCGGAAUUCCUGGUGUAGCGGUGAAAUGCGCAGAUAUCAGGAGGAACACCGGUGGCGAAGGCGGAUCUCUGGGCCGAUACUGACGCUGAGGAGCGAAAGCGUGGGGAGCGAACAGGAUUAGAUACCCUGGUAGUCCACGCCGUAAACGUUGGGAACUAGGUGUGGGCGACAUUCCACGUCGUCCGUGCCGCA
RNAcentral lists this ribosomal RNA (781 nucleotides) under Streptomyces sp. RNAcentral describes it as "bacterial SSU rRNA". It matches the Rfam family "Bacterial small subunit ribosomal RNA", at positions 56 to 850 of the family's 1533-position model. Lineage: Bacteria; Bacillati; Actinomycetota; Actinomycetes; Kitasatosporales; Streptomycetaceae. The record is from RNAcentral.